CAGUAGCCGCGGGAAUACGAAGGGGGCUAGCGUUGUUCGGAUUUACUGGGCGUAAAGCGCACGUAGGCGGAUCGAUCAGUCAGGGGUGAAAUCCCAGAGCUCGACUCUGGAACUGCCUUUGAUACUGUCGAUCUGGAGUAUGGAAGAGGUGAGUGGAAUUCCGAGUGUAGAGGUGAAAUUCGUAGAUAUUCGGAGGAACACCAGUGGCGAAGGCGGCUCACUGGUCCAUUACUGACGCUGAGGUGCGAAAGCGUGGGGAGCAAACAGGAUUAGAGACCCCAGUAGUCCCUGUCUCUUAUAC
Molecule: ribosomal RNA, 301 nt
Filed under: uncultured bacterium
Lineage: Bacteria
Description: partial 16S ribosomal RNA
Rfam family: Bacterial small subunit ribosomal RNA
Source: RNAcentral